This 252-nucleotide small RNA is filed under the name uncultured Bacteroidales bacterium. Its description in RNAcentral is "contains 16S-23S intergenic spacer region". It matches the Rfam family "Bacterial small subunit ribosomal RNA", at positions 524 to 776 of the family's 1533-position model. The record is from RNAcentral. Lineage: Bacteria; Pseudomonadati; Bacteroidota; Bacteroidia; Bacteroidales.
UACGGAGGAUUCGAGCGUUAUCCGGAUUUAUUGGGUUUAAAGGGUGCGUAGGCGGCGUUAUAAGUCAAUGGUGAAAGACUUGAGCUUAACUCAGGCGAGCCGUUGAUACUGUAGAGCUAGAACAUAGAUGGAGUAGGCGGAAUGAAUCAUGUAGCGGUGACAUGCAUAGAUAUGAUUCAGAACACCGAUCGCGAAGGCAGCUUACUAAGCUAUAGUUGACGCUGAGGCACGAAAGCGUGGGGAUCGAACAGG